This 403-nucleotide ribosomal RNA is filed under the name Verrucomicrobiota bacterium. Its description in RNAcentral is "Verrucomicrobia bacterium partial 16S ribosomal RNA". It matches the Rfam family "Bacterial small subunit ribosomal RNA", at positions 355 to 776 of the family's 1533-position model. The record is from RNAcentral. Lineage: Bacteria; Pseudomonadati; Verrucomicrobiota.
UGGGGAAUAUUGCACAAUGGAGGGAACUCUGAUGCAGCGACGCCGCGUGAACGAAGAAGGCUUUCGAGUCGUAAAGUUCUUUUAUAUGGGAAGAUAAUGACGGUACCACAAGAAAAAGCCCCGGCUAACUACGUGCCAGCAGCCGCGGUAAUACGUAGGGGGCUAGCGUUGUCCGGAAUCACUGGGCGUAAAGGGUUCGCAGGCGGAAAUGCAAGUCAGGUGUAAAAGGCAGUAGCUUAACUACUGUAAGCAUUUGAAACUGCAUAUCUUGAGAAGAGGAGAGGUAGGUGGAAUUUUUAGUGUAGCGAUGAAAUGCGUAGAUAUUAAAGAGAAUACCGGUGGCGAAGGCGACUUACUGGGCUCAUUCUGACGCUGAGGAACGAAAGCGUGGGUAGCAAACAGG